AUGGUAGUCAAUUCUUGGUCCUUAUCUCGUAGGCCAGAUCAGGUUAUUUGGACUAUGGAAAAGAAAAACUACUUCUCGACCAAAUUUGUCUAUGCUUAUCUGGAUAGACACCUAGCAGGGUGUGACUAUAGAUGGAUCUGGAAAGCCAGGCUUCUUCUCAAAAUACAAAUUUUCUUAUGGCAGCUAUUCCAAGAUGCCAUUCUGACUAGAGAGGUCAUGAAGAAACGAAAUAUGGCUGGUAACCCCAGAUGUUCUUUUUGUAGAGAGAAAGAAACUUCUCAACAUCUAUUUUUUACUUGCCCAGUUGCCCGGGUAAUUUGA
RNAcentral lists this ribosomal RNA (321 nucleotides) under Triticum aestivum (bread wheat). RNAcentral describes it as "partial small subunit ribosomal RNA". The record is from RNAcentral. Lineage: Eukaryota; Viridiplantae; Streptophyta; Magnoliopsida; Poales; Poaceae.